CCUACGGGUGGCAGCAGUCGAGAAUCAUUCACAAUGGGGGAAACCCUGAUGGUGUGACGCCGCGUGGGGGAAUGAAGGUCUUCGGAUUGUAAACCCCUGUCAUGUGGGAGCAAAUUAAAAAGAUAGUACCACAAGAGGAAGAGACGGCUAACUCUGUGCCAGCAGCCGCGGUAAUACAGAGGUCUCAAGCGUUGUUCGGAAUCACUGGGCGUAAAGCGUGCGUAGGCUGUUUCGUAAGUCGUGUGUGAAAGGCGCGGGCUCAACCCGCGGACGGCACAUGAUACUGCGAGACUAGAGUAAGGGAGGGGGAACCGGAAUUCUCGGUGUAGCAGUGAAAUGCGUAGAUAUCGAGAGGAACACUCGUGGCGAAGGCGGGUUCCUGGACAUUAACUGACGCUGAGGCACGAAGGCCAGGGGAGCGAAAGGGAUUAGAUACCCGGGUAGUC
RNAcentral lists this ribosomal RNA (446 nucleotides) under uncultured bacterium. RNAcentral describes it as "partial 16S ribosomal RNA". It matches the Rfam family "Bacterial small subunit ribosomal RNA", at positions 338 to 795 of the family's 1533-position model. The record is from RNAcentral.